GGGGUGUUAGCUCAGUUGGUAGAGCAGUGGACUCUUAAUCCAUGGGUCCAGGGUUCGAGUCCCUGACGCCCCACCA
This 76-nucleotide transfer RNA is filed under the name Gammaproteobacteria bacterium. Its description in RNAcentral is "tRNA-Lys". It matches the Rfam family "tRNA". Rfam says of the family: Transfer RNA (tRNA) molecules are approximately 80 nucleotides in length. Their secondary structure includes four short double-helical elements and three loops (D, anti-codon, and T loops). Lineage: Bacteria; Pseudomonadati; Pseudomonadota; Gammaproteobacteria. RNAcentral also lists the same sequence under 5 other names. The record is from RNAcentral.